UUUUUAUUAGUUAAAUUACAAAAUUUUUUAUUGUUAAUAAAAAGAUGAAAAAAUUAAAUUUAUUUUAUAAAAAU
RNAcentral lists this transfer RNA (74 nucleotides) under Semnoderes armiger. RNAcentral's name for it is "tRNA-Asn". The record is from RNAcentral. Lineage: Eukaryota; Metazoa; Kinorhyncha; Cyclorhagida; Kentrorhagata; Semnoderidae.